GUUCAGCUGACACAUCCCUGCCAAUCUCUGGCAGAUCCUCCCUCCCAGACCCUCCCACCUCCUGCACAGCAUCCAUGUUGAAGCUGUCUUCAACAUGGAUGCUGUCCAGGAAGUAGGAGGGUCUGGGAGGGAGGGUCUGCCGGAGAUUGGCAGGGAUGUGUCAGCUG
This 167-nucleotide microRNA precursor is filed under the name Pelobates cultripes (western spadefoot toad). Lineage: Eukaryota; Metazoa; Chordata; Amphibia; Anura; Pelobatidae. The record is from RNAcentral.